RNAcentral lists this long non-coding RNA (558 nucleotides) under Gouania willdenowi (blunt-snouted clingfish). RNAcentral's name for it is "lncRNA (ENSGWIG00000016402.1)". Lineage: Eukaryota; Metazoa; Chordata; Actinopteri; Blenniiformes; Gobiesocidae. The record is from RNAcentral.
GUUCAGUGUGUUGAAGUGAUCUUAAAGGUCAUUGUUGGUUAUAUUGAAUUAAAAUGUGUGUGCAUUGUGUUGCUAUGAAGGCGUUUGUCAAACGGGACCCAAGGGAGAAAAGGGAGAUCGUGGUCUUCCUGGGAUUCCUGCUCCACCAAGCCCAUCUAUUCCCAGGGGAGGUUGGGAGGAAUGGACCGAUCCACACAUCAAAGGUGAGAAAGGCGAUAAGGGAGAGGAAGGGUUUCCAGGGCAACCCGGAAUCCCAGGGAGACCCGGACCAGUGGGGCCUAAAGGAGAGUCUGUGCUCGGCCAUCCAGGCCCACCUGGUGUGCAGGGCUCACCUGGUGAUCCAGGUUAUGGCAGACCUGGACCUGUUGGUCCUCCUGGGCCACCAGGGCCUCCUGGACUAUCAAUAUAUGGUUCAGGUCUAGCUAUCGCUGGCCCUCCAGGACCACCGGGACCUCCUGGUAACUCAGGAGCUGUACGUAUUUUUAUUUUUGUUGUAAAUUAUAGAUUUCAAAAAACCAAUCGGUGCUAGCUUUUUGCAACACGUUCCACUCUUUGUUU